GAACGUCGUGAGACAGUUCGGUCCUUAUCCACUGUGGGCGCAGGAAACUUGAGGGGUUCAUUCCCUAGUACGAGAGGACCGGGAAUGACGCGCUUCUGGUGUGGCAAUUGUAUCGUCAGAUGCAUCGUUGCGUAGCCAUGCGCGGAAGAGAUAAGCGCUGAAAGCAUCUAAGUGCGAAACUAGCCACGAGAUGAGAGUUCCAU
RNAcentral lists this ribosomal RNA (203 nucleotides) under Pycnococcus provasolii. Its description in RNAcentral is "partial Bacterial large subunit ribosomal RNA". It matches the Rfam family "Bacterial large subunit ribosomal RNA", at positions 2614 to 2816 of the family's 2925-position model. The record is from RNAcentral. Lineage: Eukaryota; Viridiplantae; Chlorophyta; Pseudoscourfieldiophyceae; Pseudoscourfieldiales; Pycnococcaceae.